RNAcentral lists this long non-coding RNA (521 nucleotides) under Ovis aries (sheep). RNAcentral's name for it is "lncRNA (ENSOARG00000026835.1)". Lineage: Eukaryota; Metazoa; Chordata; Mammalia; Artiodactyla; Bovidae. The record is from RNAcentral.
GUUUAUUGACCACCUCUUUCAGGUCGUUGGUCUGCACCUCUCGGGUCAUGAUCUCCAUCAUCUUCUUGCGGAUCUGGCGCACCUGCUGGUGCUGGGCGUACUUCAUCGUUCUGCAGAUCGGCAAGACUCACUUCAAAAACACGACCUUUGAGGCCAUCAGAUGCGAUUUUGGUUCCUUGAGUUCUCGUGCCCAACAUUUUCCCAAUAUUCCUUAUAUUGAACAUAGCUGGUGCUUUCACAUCAUACCAAUCAUUUUUAGAAAAUGGGUCAACCACUUUCUUCUUGGCUCCCUUUUUGCCUCCUUUCGUAAGGCGCUUGUUCUUGCCGACCGCCAUGGUGCCGCUCAGAGAGCCAAAAGGGUGCACUGCAGUUCUAAGAAAAGUUUAGUGAGGACAAUGAAUCCCCCACUCCAAACUUCCCUGCAGAGAAGUCCACAACUGUGGUUACUGAUCUGCCUUAGAACCCCUGCCAUGCUCGGUCAGGAGGGACCAGCAUGUGGGAAGAGUGGCCUUGGCAGUUAA